GGAUGUGAGGGCGAUCUGGCUGCGACAUCUGUCACCCCAUGGAUCGCCAGGGUUGAUUCGGCUGAUCUGGCUGGCUAGGCCGGUGUCCCCUUCCUCCCUCACCGCUCCAUGUGCGUCCCUCCCGAAGCUGCGCACUCGGUCGAAGAGGACGACCUUCCCCGAUAGAGGAGACGACCGUUCUUCGGUCAAGGGUAUACGAGUAGCUGCGUCCCCUGCUAGAACCUCCAGACAAGCUCUCAAAACUGCUCAUAACUAUCACACUGUGCAGCCUCUAGACUAUUAAAAACAGUAAAUACUUCUGAUGUGGUAUUGUAGAAUGGCUU
RNAcentral lists this small nuclear RNA (323 nucleotides) under Neogale vison (American mink). Its description in RNAcentral is "Neovison vison (American mink) 7SK RNA (ENSNVIG00000017418.1)". It matches the Rfam family "7SK RNA". Rfam says of the family: 7SK was discovered as an abundant small nuclear RNA in the mid-70s but a possible function has only recently been suggested. The record is from Rfam by way of RNAcentral. Lineage: Eukaryota; Metazoa; Chordata; Mammalia; Carnivora; Mustelidae.